GUGGGGAAUAUUGGGCAAUGGGCGAAAGCCUGACCCAGCAACGCCGCGUGAAGGAAGAAGGCCUUCGGGUUGUAAACUUCUUUUAUGAGGGACGAAGGAAGUGACUGUACCUCAUGAAUAAGCAACGGCUAACUACGUGCCAGCAGCCGCGGUAAUACGUAGGUGGCAAGCGUUGUCCGGAUUUACUGGGUGUAAAGGGCGCGUAGGCGGACUGGCAAGUCAGAUGUGAAAUCCAUGAGCUCAACUCAUGAACUGCAUUUGAAACUGUUGGUCUUGAGUAUCGGAGAGGCAAGCGGAAUUCCUAGUGUAGCGGUGAAAUGCGUAGAUAUUAGGAGGAACACCAGUGGCGAAGGCGGCUUGCUGGACGACAACUGACGCUGAGGCGCGAAAGCGUGGGGAGCAAACAGGAUUAGAAACCCUGGUAGUCC
RNAcentral lists this ribosomal RNA (428 nucleotides) under uncultured bacterium. RNAcentral describes it as "partial 16S ribosomal RNA". It matches the Rfam family "Bacterial small subunit ribosomal RNA", at positions 354 to 796 of the family's 1533-position model. The record is from RNAcentral.